UGUCUUCGUUUGAUGGGUUGCUC
RNAcentral lists this non-coding RNA (23 nucleotides) under Arabidopsis thaliana (thale cress). Lineage: Eukaryota; Viridiplantae; Streptophyta; Magnoliopsida; Brassicales; Brassicaceae. The record is from RNAcentral.